This is a long non-coding RNA of Oreochromis niloticus (Nile tilapia), 1059 nucleotides long. RefSeq lists it as uncharacterized. NCBI's taxonomy places the organism in Eukaryota, Metazoa, Chordata, Actinopteri, Cichliformes, Cichlidae. The transcript has 2 exons. The record is from RefSeq and is a predicted model, not a curated record.
GGCAAGCCAUUAGUGCCAAAAUUCGCCACUUUUCUAACCCGUUUGAUUAAGAAACGGCGUAAAAAACGCCGUUUAAUUAUUCAAAACGCCGAAAAAAACGGCGUUCUGUUUCGACAAACGCCGUUUUUUCCGACUCUCACAUGGCGCCCUGAACGCACCAUCCGAGUGACGUAAAAAGCGGCGUUCAAAGACACACGGAAACGCCGUUUUUUACGCCACUCGGCAGAAAACGCCGUUCAAAGAUGCAUAAAAACGGCGUUUUUUACGGCGUUCUGUGCCAGCUGUAACGGCGUUUAAAACGGCGUUUUAUUGAAAUUAUGCAGGGCACUCCCCAUGGUUCCCUCAUCCAAUUACUUUCAACUCAUUUCACCCAAUCAAAGAAGAGGAAGUGCAGACCACACUAAUGCAUCACCGAUUCACCUUGCUGCUAAGUGAUUGCCUAUUCAGUACCAGUGCUUGUCACAGUAUUGACUUGUAUUAUAAUCCCACUAUGCAUUUUGAUGUGUUUAAGGCAUGAUCAAGCAAACAAACGACAGAAUACUUUUUCUGAAACCUUAACUGUGAUACCUGUUAUGGCAGCUAACAGACACUUGGCGCAUGGCUCCUUUGUUUACGUUAGGGAUCAGCUGUUAGCGCUGCGCCCUGCAGCUGCGCUACCGGCAGACAGACCCUACGUCCCCAGUGAGGGAAGAGACGGGGGUGAUGUCUCCCGAGAAGGACACCUUACACACCAUCUCUCCUUCCUGUAAUCACUGUAAACGUGAGAUCGCUCCCUGAUAUGAUUGAGGAGCUAAUGACGCUAACCCGGUCACAGUGGCAGUACCCCGACACUGCCCGGUACUCCCUCUGUGAGUAGGCUGCCCGGCUUCCAGCUGCUGCGGCCGGACAAGACCAGAGACAGCGGUGAGAGGAAAGGAGGGGGACUGGGCAGUGUUUGUUAAAGACAGUUGUGGUAUCCCUGGGCACAUUGCUGUGAAAGAACAACUCUGCAACAGAGACAUUGAGCUAUUAGCCGUUAGCAUCCGUGGAGGCAGCCUGUGACUCUCUGUGGUCCGCAGA